Molecule: ribosomal RNA, 578 nt
Filed under: uncultured Bacteroidota bacterium
Lineage: Bacteria; Pseudomonadati; Bacteroidota
Description: bacterial SSU rRNA
Rfam family: Bacterial small subunit ribosomal RNA
Source: RNAcentral
CCUACGGGAGGCAGCAGUGAGGAAUAUUGGUCAAUGGGUGCAAGCCUGAACCAGCCAUCCCGCGUGAAGGACGACUGCCCUAUGGGUUGUAAACUUCUUUUGUAUAGGGAUAAACCUACCCUCGUGAGGGUAGCUGAAGGUACUAUACGAAUAAGCACCGGCUAACUCCGUGCCAGCAGCCGCGGUAAUACGGAGGAUGCGAGCGUUAUCCGGAUUCAUUGGGUUUAAAGGGUGCGCAGGCGGACUAAUAAGUCAGUGGUGAAAUCCCAUAGCUUAACUAUGGAACUGCCAUUGAUACUGUUAGACUAGAGUGUAGAUGACGUAGGCGGAAUGCGACAUGUAGCGGUGAAAUGCUUAGAUAUGCCGCAGAACACCGAUUGCGAAGGCAGCUUACGAAACUACAACUGACGCUCAUGCACGAAAGCGUGGGGAUCAAACAGGAUUAGAUACCCUGGUAGUCCACGCCCUAAACGAUGAUUACUCGUUGUUAGCCUGUACAGGUUAGUGGCUAAGGGAAACCGAUAAGUAAUCCACCUGGGGAGUACGAUCGCAAGGUUGAAACUCAAAGGAAUUGACGG